AAUUAGGUGAUUUAGAGUAAAUCACCUGAUUUGAAGUCAGGAAAACCUGAGUUCAAAUCCAGCCUAAAUA
This 70-nucleotide transfer RNA is filed under the name Sarcophilus harrisii (Tasmanian devil). It matches the Rfam family "tRNA". Rfam says of the family: Transfer RNA (tRNA) molecules are approximately 80 nucleotides in length. Lineage: Eukaryota; Metazoa; Chordata; Mammalia; Dasyuromorphia; Dasyuridae. The record is from Rfam by way of RNAcentral.